Molecule: long non-coding RNA, 579 nt
Filed under: Salvia miltiorrhiza (redroot sage)
Lineage: Eukaryota; Viridiplantae; Streptophyta; Magnoliopsida; Lamiales; Lamiaceae
Description: long non-coding RNA (SMIL_LNC013989)
Source: RNAcentral
UACCAAACACACCAUUCCAUGUCCUAGUUUUGGUAGUUUGUAAGAAAGCAUUAAUGCUUUAACCUCUCCCCACCAAACACUAGCCAAGAUUGAGGUGUCGUAGUUUUGCUCUUGGACUAUCUGCUUAGAUCGGCGAUUCCCACAUCUUCUUCAAUUUCUCGAAAAACGCCAAACUUUUAAAAAGAAAAGGGCAGGCUCCCACGCGCAAUUCUCUCAAUAUAAAUGCGUGUGAUGGAAGCCAUGCAAAUGCAACAAUCACUCAUUUCUACUAAGUAAAUUCUGUAAAAUGAUGAGCGAAGGCGGGCAUGGCGUGGUUCCUCUAUUGUUGCAGGAGAGGUUCAGACAGUUGCAAAGAAUGAAAGAGAUGAGAGAGGAGAGAGAGUUAGUGAGAAUGUUGUUAUGUAGCACUAGCAGUUUUAAUUACUUUGCGGAGCCACCGAAGCCGCAUUGCCAACUUUCGCUGUCGAUGUGGCCGGAUUGGCCGCCGCCGCCGCCGCCGCCCCGAUCAAAUCCUUCAAAGUCGUUGCGCUUUGCUGAUCAAAGCUGCGCCUCUGAUAUCGACACUUCUCUUCAUCUGUG